This 207-nucleotide ribosomal RNA is filed under the name uncultured bacterium. Its description in RNAcentral is "partial 16S ribosomal RNA". It matches the Rfam family "Bacterial small subunit ribosomal RNA", at positions 568 to 774 of the family's 1533-position model. The record is from RNAcentral.
UGCGUAGGCGGCUUAUUAAGUCAGAUGUGAAAGCCCCGGGCUUAACCUGGGAACUGCAUUUGAUACUGGUAGGCUAGAGUAUGAUAGAGGGGGGUAGAAUUCCUGGUGUAGCGGUGAAAUGCGUAGAUAUCAGGAGGAAUACCAGUGGCGAAGGCGGCCCCCUGGAUCAAUACUGACGCUGAGGUACGAAAGCGUGGGUAGCGAACA